AGUGAACGCUGGCGGUAGGCCUAACACAUGCAAGUCGAACGGCAGCACAGGAGAGCUUGCUCUCUGGGUGGCGAGUGGCGGACGGGUGAGGAAUACAUCGGAAUCUACUCUGUCGUGGGGGAUAACGUAGGGAAACUUACGCUAAUACCGCAUACGACCUACGGGUGAAAGCAGGGGAUCUUCGGACCUUGCGCGAUUGAAUGAGCCGAUGUCGGAUUAGCUAGUUGGCGGGGUAAAGGCCCACCAAGGCGACGAUCCGUUGCUGGUCUGAGGGGAAGAACAGCAACACUGGAACUGAGACACGGUGCAGACUCCUACGGGAGGCAGCAGUGGGGAAUAUUGGACAAUGGGCGCAAGCCAGAUCCAGCCAUACCGCGUGGGUGAAGAAGGCCUUCGGGUUGUAAAGCCCUUUUGUUGGGAAAGAAAUCCAGCUGGCUAAUACCCGGUUGGGAUGACGGUACCCAAAGAGUAAGCACCGGCUAACUUCGUGCCAGCCGCCGCCGUAA
RNAcentral lists this ribosomal RNA (506 nucleotides) under uncultured bacterium. RNAcentral's name for it is "partial 16S ribosomal RNA". It matches the Rfam family "Bacterial small subunit ribosomal RNA", at positions 29 to 523 of the family's 1533-position model. The record is from RNAcentral.